This 468-nucleotide ribosomal RNA is filed under the name uncultured bacterium. RNAcentral's name for it is "partial 16S ribosomal RNA". It matches the Rfam family "Bacterial small subunit ribosomal RNA", at positions 28 to 507 of the family's 1533-position model. The record is from RNAcentral.
GACGAACGCUGGCGGCGUGCUUAAUACAUGCAAGUCGAACGGAAAGGCCCUGCUCUUGCGGGGUGCUCGUGUGGCGAACGGGUGAGUAACACGCGAGUAACCCGCCCUUGUCUUUGGGAUAACUCUAGGAAACUGGGGCUAAUACCGCAUAGGAGCUCUUGAUGCACGGUGGGGGUUGGAAAGUUUCGGCGGUUGGGGCUGGACUCGCGGCUUAUCAGCUUGUUGGUGGGGUAGGGGCUUACCAAGGGUUUGACGGGUAGCCGGCCUGAGAGGGUAGACGGCCACAAGAGGACUGAGGUACGGCGCAGAAUCCUACGGGAGGCAGCGGUGGGGAAUAUUGCGGAAUAGGCGGAAGCCUGAUGCAGAAACGCCGCGUGCGGGAUGACGGCCUACGAGUUGUAAACCGCUUUCGCCUGUAACGAAGCGUGAGUGACGGUAAUGGGUAAGAAAGCACCGGCUAACUACGUG